CGCUGGCGGCGUGCCUAACACAUGCAGGUCGCACGUCCUCUUUCGUUUCGGCGAGAGAGGGAGUGGCGGACGGGUGAGUAACACAUGGGUACCUGCCCUCCAGUGAGGAAUACCGGCGAGAAAUCGCUGACAAUACCGCAUAUGCCCGGCAACGGGCAAAGUCUCUCGCGAGAGAGGCGCUGGAGGAUGGGCCUGUGGCCGAUUAGCUGGCUGGUGGGGUAAGAGCCUACCAGGGCGAUGAUCGGUAGCUGGUCUGAGAGGACGAGCAGCCACACUGGGAUUGAGAACGGCCCAGACUCCUACGGGAGGCAGCAGUGAGGAAUUUUCCGCAAUGGUCGCAAGACUGACGGAGCAACGCCGCGUGCAGGAGGACGGCCUUCGGGUUGUAAACUGCUUUUCUGAGGGACGAAUUUUGACGGUACCUCAGGAAGAAGCCCCGGCUCACUACGUGCCAGCAGCCGCGGUAAUACGUAGGGGGCAAGCGUCGUCCGGAAUUAUUGGGCGUAAAGCGCCCGCAGGCGGUUCGCCAGGUUUGAGGCGACAAUCACCGGCUUAACUGGUGAACGUCCUCAAAAACCAGCGGACUUGAAAGCGAGAGAGGGACACGGAACU
Molecule: ribosomal RNA, 612 nt
Filed under: uncultured bacterium
Lineage: Bacteria
Description: bacterial SSU rRNA
Rfam family: Bacterial small subunit ribosomal RNA
Source: RNAcentral